UACGGAGGGCGCAAGCGUUAUCCGGAUUCACUGGGGUUAAAGGGUGCGUAGGAGGACAGGUAAGUCAGUGGUGAAAUCUCCGAGCUUAACUUGGAAACUGCCGUUGAUACUAUCUGCCUUGAAUAUUGUGGAGGUGAGCGGAAUAUGUCAUGUAGCGGUGAAAUGCUUAGAUAUGACAUAGAACACCAAUUGCGAAGGCAGCUCGCUACACAUAUAUUGACUCUGAGGCACGAAAGCGUGGGGAUCAAACAGG
Molecule: ribosomal RNA, 253 nt
Filed under: uncultured bacterium
Lineage: Bacteria
Description: partial 16S ribosomal RNA
Rfam family: Bacterial small subunit ribosomal RNA
Source: RNAcentral